RNAcentral lists this long non-coding RNA (545 nucleotides) under Setaria italica (foxtail millet). Its description in RNAcentral is "long non-coding RNA (SITA_LNC005819)". Lineage: Eukaryota; Viridiplantae; Streptophyta; Magnoliopsida; Poales; Poaceae. The record is from RNAcentral.
UAUAUUUUUGGAUUUAUUUGCUAUAUUUAUUUAAUUAAUUGCAUUUCAAGAAAAUUUUUGGUAUAAGUCAAAUUUGAACUGCAAGUGAUUCAAAUUAUGGAACAAAAUGAGUAGAAAAAUGAUAUUCAUGUUAUUUGGCCCAUUUUGAGACCUGACCCAUGAAAUGAAAAGAAAUUUUGAACAUCUUGUUCAGGAAACACGACCAUGAACGUGUGGCAGUAGUAUUUUUAAAUUGUAAAAAAAACAAGCAAAGUCUGAAAAUCAUGAGAUUUGUCAUGAUGUGAUGAUAUAGUAUGUGGAGGCUGUGGAAAAAAAUUGAGAAGGUUUUGCACAUUUCAUCACGUACAAUGAUUACAAACCGAAGUAUCUCGGAAGAAGAAUACUAACUUUGAGAGGAUUCCAUAAAAUUUAGAGUCGAAGUGACGGUCAAGUUUGGUUUGACUACCAAACUUUUUGUAUAGUCAAUAGAGAACAUAUAUUGGUUCGUGUGAAAAUUUGGUAUUUUUUUGAAACUGUUGGAUAUUUUUUAAUUUUUUUCCAAAAAA